RNAcentral lists this ribosomal RNA (464 nucleotides) under uncultured bacterium. RNAcentral describes it as "bacterial SSU rRNA". It matches the Rfam family "Bacterial small subunit ribosomal RNA", at positions 338 to 795 of the family's 1533-position model. The record is from RNAcentral.
CCUANGGGUGGCAGCAGUAGGGAAUCUUCCGCAAUGGACGCAAGUCUGACGGAGCAACGCCGCGUGAGUGAUGAAGGUUUUCGGAUCGUAAAGCUCUGUUGCCCUAGACGAACAGCAUGAGGAGUAACUGCCUUGUGUGUGACGGUAUAGGAGAAGAAAGCCCCGGCUAACUACGUGCCAGCAGCCGCGGUAAUACGUAGGGGGCAAGCGUUGUCCGGAAUUAUUGGGCGUAAAGCGCGCGCAGGCGGUCAAUUAAGUUGGGUGUUUAAGCCCGGGGCUCAACCCCGGUUCGCAUCCAAAACUGGUUGACUUGAGUGUAGGAGAGGAAAGUGGAAUUCCACGUGUAGCGGUGAAAUGCGUAGAGAUGUGGAGGAACACCAGUGGCGAAGGCGACUUUCUGGCCUAUAACUGACGCUGAGGCGCGAAAGCGUGGGGAGCAAACAGGAUUAGAUACCCGANUANUC